This 510-nucleotide ribosomal RNA is filed under the name Triticum aestivum (bread wheat). RNAcentral describes it as "partial small subunit ribosomal RNA". The record is from RNAcentral. Lineage: Eukaryota; Viridiplantae; Streptophyta; Magnoliopsida; Poales; Poaceae.
AUGGUAAAGAUGAAGCAUGUCAUGUGUGUCCCUGACCUUAGUAUUCUUAGGAGUGCUGUGUUAGGUGACAAAUCUUAUAAUUUGGGAGCCAUUGUUGCACGUAGGUUGCAUAAUAAUAGAUUUAAUGGAGAUUUCUUUGGAGGAAUUUAUGCAACCCGCUUAGCUGAUUUUCUUGGUGUGGACGUUCAUGAGGAUGAUAUUGAGUUGCCUCCUACUUAUUUAGACUAUAAUUCUAUGGUCUACCACCAGUUUGUCGAGAGGAAGGAAUCACCUCUCCGAUAUCGCUUAAUAUUUGACAGACGUCAUGCUGUCCGUAUUACUCUCCCUGCUCCUGCCUUCUUUGAUUAUCAGGCAAAAGGAAGACAUUUUAUUACCAGAGAGGAGGCAGAUGAGUACGAGAGGAGGGCGGAGGCAGCUCGCCGCCACGCUGCAGCUCAGGAGGCGAUAACCGCCGCAUCUCAGUACGACCCCAGCUACAACUACGGAUACCCGCCAGGCCAUCCGUGGUAA